RNAcentral lists this ribosomal RNA (776 nucleotides) under uncultured Neocallimastigales. RNAcentral's name for it is "partial large subunit ribosomal RNA". It matches the Rfam family "Eukaryotic large subunit ribosomal RNA", at positions 23 to 638 of the family's 3401-position model. Lineage: Eukaryota; Fungi; Neocallimastigomycota; Neocallimastigomycetes; Neocallimastigales. The record is from RNAcentral.
AGACUCUGUGCGCGUGCAUAUCAAUAAGCGGAGGAAAAGAAACUAACAAGGAUUCCCUAGUAACGGCGAGUGAAGCGGGAAGAGCUCAAAUUUGAAAUCUUAAAGGUUCUACCUUGACGAAUUGUAGUUUAAAGAAGUGGUUUCUGUUGGAGUUUCGGUAAAAGUUCUUUGGAAUAGGACAUCAUAGAGGGUGAGAAUCCCGUAUUUGACCGUUACUUUCCAGCUGUGUGAUACACUUUCAAAGAGUCGGAUUGUUUGGGAAUGCAGUCCAAGAUGGGUGGUAAAUUUCAUCUAAAGCUAAAUAUUGGCGAGAGACCGAUAGCGAACAAGUACCGUGAGGGAAAGAUGAAAAGAACUUUGAAAAGAGAGUUAAACAGUACGUGAAAUUGUCAAAAGGGAAGCGUUUGACACCAGUGUUGUUUAGUUGAAAAUCAAUUCAAUAGUUUUUGAUUUUGAGUAGUAUUGACUUCAUCAGCUUGCUGCUUUCUUUUCCGAAAUUAUUGAAUGCACUUUUCAGUUAACAAGUCAACAUCAAUUUCUUUUGUUGUAAAAGGGUAAGAGGAAGGUGGCUUACGCUUCGGCGUAAGUGUUUAUAGCCUUUUACCUCUGCAAUCGGAGAGAUUAAGGACAGCAGCGUAGACUCCUUCGGGGGUUAGAUACACCUUGUGCUAAGCUAUAGCCUUGUAUAGACAACUUGUUGACUAUGCUCAGUCAUGUAGCUUACUCGCUUGUGCUAUUUUACCUACGCUUAGGAUGUUGACAGCAGUAUAGACUGU